This is a long non-coding RNA of Adelges cooleyi (spruce gall adelgid), 512 nucleotides long. RefSeq lists it as uncharacterized. The transcript has 3 exons. NCBI's taxonomy places the organism in Eukaryota, Metazoa, Arthropoda, Insecta, Hemiptera, Adelgidae. The record is from RefSeq and is a predicted model, not a curated record.
GGGGACGGGCGAACAUCAGCAUAUAAGGAAGGGUGCACCACCCAACAUUUAACAGUUACCAGUUAUCACUGCAAGACAGUCGGUGAACAAUCAUUUGUGCACAUACACACACGUACGGUCAAGAUGAGUCAAAUCACCAAAGAUUUCCUAAACGACCGCAGCGAGUUCGUGUUGGAAUCGAGGAGACGUCACAUUACGGAGAUUCAACCCUUCGUCCCAUACAGAGUGAUACGGUUCGAAACGGUCGUUACAAAGCACGAUGCGCGUACGCCCGCCGUAGAAUUACGCUUGGGCGAUAAUCCACAACCCAUACGCGUAUACUUGCCAACCAGAUUCAGAAUGACCGACGAAGAACUACAGAAGCCGAUAGAUUCUAAUCUAACAAUGAUCUACAAGGGAAAGAAGAACGGGUCCAACGUCCACGAUGUCGUAUUUUUAUAAUAUUAUGGAUAAUGACGGACCGUUCGACGACUGACCUGCAGUACAACACACGCGCAAAUAUAUAAGUAGCA